Molecule: ribosomal RNA, 481 nt
Filed under: uncultured diatom
Lineage: Eukaryota; Bacillariophyta
Description: SSU rRNA
Rfam family: Eukaryotic small subunit ribosomal RNA
Source: RNAcentral
ACAUCCAAGGAAGGCAGCAGGCGCGUAAAUUACCCAAUCCUGACACAGGGAGGUAGUGACAAUAAAUAACAAUGCCGGGCCUUUGUAGGUCUGGCAAUUGGAAUGAGAACAAUUUAAACCCCUUAUCGAGUAUCAAUUGGAGGGCAAGUCUGGUGCCAGCAGCCGCGGUAAUUCCAGCUCCAAUAGCGUAUAUUAAAGUUGUUGCAGUUAAAAAGCUCGUAGUUGGAUUUGUGGCUGUCUCGAGCGGCCUAGCACCUAGUGUUAGUGCCUGCUUGGGUCGCCAUCCUUGGGUGGAGCCUGUGUGGCAUUAGGUUGUCGUGCAGGGGAUGCCCAUCGUUUACUGUGAGAAAAUUAGAGUGUUCAAAGCAGGCUUAUGCCGUUGAAUAUGUUAGCAUGGAAUAAUAAGAUAGGACCUCGGUACUAUUUUGUUGGUUUGCGCACGAGGUAAUGAUUAAUAGGGACAGUUGGGGGUAUUCGUAUU